This is a long non-coding RNA of Magallana angulata, 499 nucleotides long. RefSeq lists it as uncharacterized. NCBI's taxonomy places the organism in Eukaryota, Metazoa, Mollusca, Bivalvia, Ostreida, Ostreidae. The transcript has 5 exons. The record is from RefSeq and is a predicted model, not a curated record.
UUGUGAAAUUUCUGCAUGAAAGUGUAGGGGAGUUCUUAAUUGCUAGAUAACGCAGGUUUGGUACAUCCGUUUGGGCAAAGGAGAUUUUCUUCACUCUAGCCAUUUCCACCCGCUGGAUUUCUCGUAAUUUCGGGAGUUGUUAAACAUGGAGCAAAAAGUGUACUACGUUUUGAUCACUAUAUUGAAUUUAUUGAAACUAAUUAUUCUGGCAGAAAUGCCAUCUCCGUCAUCACACUCGGAGAAUCAGGAUCAGGCUAGGUCAGAGGGACCUAGCCAUCAGCCUAGAUCCGAGGGAGCUAGGCGACGGAAUGGAAGGAGGAGAAAAUGCAGAAUGUGGGGAGAGGAUGUGGUAUACUACACGUCCUCUAACGAUAAUAUGUCCCUAAGAGGGACUGAUUUCAAAAAUCCCGACAGCGUUGGAUGAUGCAGGUCCUUCCAUCAAUGACGUGUCGGAGUGACAACAUAUUUAUUAUUCAUCAUGUGUUAAAUAAAAAAAAAA